GGACGGACGGUCAGAGGCCACCGCGGGACUACCAUAGGAAAGCAAAGCCUGCCCCCGCUAGCUAACAUAGAAAGAUAUUCCCAGAUAACAGUAGUCUGUCUCUAUGUGAAUCUCUUCCCGACCAGGCCAGGCCGAAUCGAGCCACCACGUCGGGAUGGGAAUGGCUCAGCCCACAUGCAUCAUUUGAUGAAAGCACUCCAGUCGCCUCCUCGAAGUGGCUUGUCAACCACGUUUUCCCUCCC
This 242-nucleotide long non-coding RNA is filed under the name Populus trichocarpa (black cottonwood). Its description in RNAcentral is "long non-coding RNA (PTRI_LNC004384)". Lineage: Eukaryota; Viridiplantae; Streptophyta; Magnoliopsida; Malpighiales; Salicaceae. The record is from RNAcentral.